RNAcentral lists this ribosomal RNA (253 nucleotides) under uncultured bacterium. Its description in RNAcentral is "partial 16S ribosomal RNA". It matches the Rfam family "Bacterial small subunit ribosomal RNA", at positions 524 to 776 of the family's 1533-position model. The record is from RNAcentral.
UACGUAGGGUGCGAGCGUUAAUCGGAAUUACUGGGCGUAAAGCGUGCGCAGGCGGUUCGUUGUGUCGGCGGUGAAAGCCCCGGGCUCAACCUGGGAAUGGCCGUUGAAACUGGCGAACUGGAGUGUGGCAGAGGGGGGUGGAAUUCCGCGUGUAGCAGUGAAAUGCGUAGAGAUGCGGAGGAACACCGAUGGCGAAGGCAGCCCCCUGGGCUAACACUGACGCUCAUGCACGAAAGCGUGGGGAGCAAACAGG